Molecule: ribosomal RNA, 243 nt
Filed under: uncultured bacterium
Lineage: Bacteria
Description: partial small subunit ribosomal RNA
Rfam family: Bacterial small subunit ribosomal RNA
Source: RNAcentral
AGAAUCAACGCUGGCGGCGUGCCUAACACAUGCAAGUCGAACGAGAAAGUGGAGCAAUCCAUGAGUAAAGUGGCGACCGGGUGAGUAACACGUGACUAACCUACCUUCGAGUGGGGGAUAACCCCGGGAAACCGGGGCUAACACCGCAUAACAUCGCAAGAUCAAAGCAGCAAUGCGCUGGAAGAGGGGGUCGCGGCUGAUUAGCUAGUUGGCGGGUAACGGCCCACAAGGCGAAGAUCGGUA